GAAGGGAUUGUUUAUGAGGGUCAAGGAGCUGGAGGCCUGGGGAGGAGCUGGUGUUUCUGUUCAAGUUUGAGGGUCCUGGAGCUGGAGCCCAGGGGAGGAGCCAGUGCUGCCACUGAUGUCUUAGGGUCGUGGAGCUGAAGAUCCCAGAGGAGCCGGUGCUGCUAUUCUAGCUUGAGUUUCGUGGAGCUGGAGACCCAGGGAGAAGAUGGUGCUGCUGUUCUAAUUUAAGGAUCGUGAAACAGAAGACCCAGAAAGGAGCUGGUGCUGCCGCUGCUCAGAUCUGAGGGUGUUGGAGCUGGAGCCUGGGGGUGGAGCCAUUGCUGCCAUUGAAGUGUGAGAGUCAUUGAGCUGGAAGUCCAGGAAGCAGCUGGUGCUGCUGUUCUAGUUUGAGGGUUGUGGAGUGCAGACCCAGGCAGGAGCAACAUUGCUGUAGUUCGAGGGUCAGAAAGCUGGCGACCCAGGGAGGAGAGGUCUUGUUCUGGUCUGAGGGUCGUGGAGCUGCAGACCCAGGGAGGAGCAAUUUUGUUGUAAUUCAAGGGUCCGGUAGCUGGCAACCCAGGGAAGAGAAGUGUUGUUGGAGUUUGAGGGUCGUGGAGCUGCCGACCCAGGGAGGAGCAGUUUGGUUGUAAUUCGAGGGUCAGGAAGCUGGCGACCCAGGGGAGGAGAGGUCUUCUUCUGGUCUGAGGGUCGUGGAGCUGCAGACCCAGGGAGGAGCAAUGUUGUUGUAAUUCGAGGGUCUGGUAGCUGGCAACCUGGGGAGGAGAAGUCUUGUUCGAGUUUGAGGCUGGUGGAGCUGCUGAUCAGGGAGGAGCAAUUUUGUUGUAGUUCGAGGGUCAGGAAGCUGGUGACCCAGGGAGGAGAGGUCUUGUUCUGGUCUGAGGGUCCUGGAGCUACAGACCCAGGGAGGAGCAAUGUUGUUGUAAUUUGAGGGUUCGGUAGCUGGCACCCUGGGGAGGAGAAGUCUUGUUCUAGUUUGAGGGUGGUGGAGCUGCAGAGCCAGGGAGGAGCAGUGUUGUUGUAGUUUGAGGGUCAUGGAGGUACAGACCCAGGGAGGAGCCGUGUUGUUUUGAGUGUCGUGGAGCCGGAGAUCCACGGAGGAGCUGG
RNAcentral lists this long non-coding RNA (1104 nucleotides) under Homo sapiens (human). RNAcentral describes it as "HSALNT0268263". The record is from RNAcentral. Lineage: Eukaryota; Metazoa; Chordata; Mammalia; Primates; Hominidae.